Patella vulgata (common limpet) is the source of this 2220-nucleotide long non-coding RNA. RefSeq lists it as uncharacterized. The transcript has 3 exons. NCBI's taxonomy places the organism in Eukaryota, Metazoa, Mollusca, Gastropoda, Patellidae. The record is from RefSeq and is a predicted model, not a curated record.
CGCGAAUUUGGUUUUGUUCGGAUGUUCCGCCUGCAAUAAAAGAAAUCGGGGUUGAUCAUUCUAUCGCUUACCCAAAAACAACAUAGAGUGGAGAGAGAAUCAUUACGUAUCAUACAGUCUACCAGAUCAGACCCGAUAAAUGACAAGACCUUGACAAUAUGUUCAAGACACGUUGAGCCGGAUUAUUUCGUUGAAAAAAUGUUUACAAAAAUUCUGGGUCCACAUAUCGAAGAUUAAAAGAAGGGUUAGGGAGACUAUCAACCUUAAUUCUUCUACAGAAAAGCGUAACAACAAAGAAAUUGAAUCCAAGGAAGUCACCGAGUCCAAGGAAAACCGAGGAAACUCAAUGUUUACAUAUGAACGAAGUAACCUUUCAGAUGUUGCAGAAAUCAUUUUUAUGUCAAAUGUCUGCUUUGUGGCUAUGUCAGUCUUCAAGUGAUUAUAUCUAUCUGUUUAAAACUGAAGAUAAAAGUGUAACAUACCAUUUAACCAUUGACAAGGACUUGAAUUGUGAAGUACAAUAUAAUAAUUUUUGUUUCCUGUUCAAAUUAAAGUUACAUCUAUAGAUUUACUUAUAAGAACUGUUGAGAAUAUGAAGAUAUGUGGGGGCAUAACAUCAAAACAUUUACAGUCUUAUUCUCAAUGUCAGCCUACAACUGUAAGAUAUAUCAGACAGGUUGAUAUUUUCAUGAACACAAAUAAGUCAACAUAGAAAUUACGAAAGCUGUGUACUUGCUUCUGUAUGUAAUAGUUUUGUUGAGGACACUCAAAAAGAAAUUUGUUUAAGUUGUCGACAGAUUAACAGAGAUUUACAGAGAAAGUAAAUAGUAAUAAUAAUAGUUUAUUUCACAUAUAUGGCUACAUAGCACAUUGCAUAUUCAGAUUUUGAUUGACAAUAUAUAAUUCAAAGAAUCAAUAUUUACAUACUUGUAAAUGUAAUUUACAAUUCAAAAAUAGCUUAGCAAUAAUAUAUAGUUGCCAUAUAAACGAGCAAACAGUGAUAGAAUAUAAUCAUGUGGUAUGAAUUUGAUUAAAAUGUAGAUUUCACUCCAUUUUGAUUUAUUUCUUCCAACUGACUCGACUCCACAUAGAUUUGAGGUCAAAUGAGAAGUUAUAGAGUUAAACUGUGAUCAGUGAUGUCAGGUAUUUUAUUUACAGCACUUUGCUGCAAGCAUUUCACACAAUGAAAGUAACAAAAACACAGAUUAUACAGAUAAUUUCAUACAACAAAAUAGAAAGUGUAUAAUUAAACUAAACAUUUCCUGGCUCUAUUGGAAUUAAUAUCAAUAUUGGAAGUAUAAAAAUAUAAAUGUGAUUGAAUCUAGGAUUAAAUCUAGAACUUAAUCAGCAGUGUUCUACAGAUUUUUUAUUUCUUGUUAUUACUGUAUUGUAGUUAAUAAGUAAUGAAAAGAAAACAAGGCCCCAAGUUCACAAAGCAUUCUCAGUCUUAAGUUAAGGUUUUACUCAAAAUUGUUUGUCUUAUUUUAACUCAAAUAUAGCACUUUACUAACUAUUGUUGUUUUAAUGUAAAUAUAUCAAUAAGAAACUGUGCAAAGUUUUGUGUUUCUGGAUCAAAGAUAUUUCUCAAAAACAGUGAUUGAAGGUUGAGCAAAUUCUUAAGUCUGGGAAUGCUUUGUGAACUUGGGGCCAGGUUGAUAAUAGUAAACAAAAUAUAUCGAGACGCAAUGAAAUAGCACCUCUGAGAUGACGUGGCAUAACUUUGCACCUUCCACAAAACCUAGCUUUUUAAAAGCUGCAUUAUAUACCCCACGUGUGUACCAGAAAAAUCAACAUACUGAUUCUGUUGGGUUUAAUUUUUUUGAUUGAGAAUUGUUCGGGGUGCGUUUACGCAAUCUUCAAAACAUUCUCACAUGUUAUCAUCGUAAUAUGAUGUUGUUACAUCCUUAAUUGCAAGAUUAAAGCAAAUCUUUAAAACAAAAUUGAGCUGAAAAGUACUAAGUAGGGCGUUAAACCUGGAUUCAUUUCAAACAAGAUUUACAUUCAUCCAUUUAUAAAAGUGAUGUAUUAUUUUUAUUGCAUCUCAGUAUAAAAUAUUAACAAUGAUAACAAAAUUUAUAUAAAUUUUAUACAGGUGCACAACUUGUAAUGUGUGAGCUUUAUAAAUGUAUUAAAUUAUUCUUAAAUAUACAUUAUGUAAGAUUUUGAUAAAGAGCUAGCCAUUCUUGCUAUAAUAGUUCGAAGAUAAAAAAUGUAAAAUGA